CACAAUAACAAGCCGAGCAUCAUUUUCCUUUGCCAUGUCCAACAACCUAUCGAGAUGGGCCCGACGAGAGAGCGGAGAGUCGAUGACAACGCUUAAUCCCAAGUCGAGUUGAGUUGAGACCACGUUCCACAUGACUUCAUAUGAUAGGUCGUUGAGAAGUUUAGUUGCUUUGGAGGGUGUGGAUGGCAAAAGGGUUUGCUCGAGUGUGUGUGUAGAGUCUCGAAAAUGGUCUUUAUCUAUAAGAGGGCACUUGAGGGUCCUGGCUAUGGCGUGAGCCAGAGUGCUUUUACCUGUCCCUGGAUGCCCUUUCAUGGCUAUGAUAAUUGGCCUCUCUUUCACUAAAUUAAUCUCUUCCUCCUCCAUAAGAUGGAUCGAUGAACAGAAACUCUAUACUGCCGGCUCUGUUGAAGAUGUCAAUCCGCCUUCGCCACUCCGCCUCAUCCCCCGGCUUGCACUCCACAAUAACAAGCCGAGCAUCAUUUUCCUUUGCCAUGUCCAACAACCUAUCGAGAUGGGCCCGACGAGAGAGCGGAGAGUCGAUGACAACGCUUAAUCCCAAGUCGAGUUGAGUUGAGACCACGUUCCACAUGACUUCAUAUGAUAGGUCGUUGAGAAGUUUAGUUGCUUUGGAGGGUGUGGAUGGCAAAAGGGUUUGCUCGAGUGUGUGUGUAGAGUCUCGAAAAUGGUCUUUAUCUAUAAGAGGGCACUUGAGGGUCCUGGCUAUGGCGUGAGCCAGAGUGCUUUUACCUGUCCCUGGAUGCCCUUUC
Molecule: long non-coding RNA, 767 nt
Filed under: Olea europaea (common olive)
Lineage: Eukaryota; Viridiplantae; Streptophyta; Magnoliopsida; Lamiales; Oleaceae
Description: long non-coding RNA (OEUR_LNC004296)
Source: RNAcentral